RNAcentral lists this transfer RNA (72 nucleotides) under Camelus bactrianus (Bactrian camel). It matches the Rfam family "tRNA". From Rfam's summary of the family: Transfer RNA (tRNA) molecules are approximately 80 nucleotides in length. Their secondary structure includes four short double-helical elements and three loops (D, anti-codon, and T loops). The record is from Rfam by way of RNAcentral. RNAcentral also lists the same sequence under 2 other names. Lineage: Eukaryota; Metazoa; Chordata; Mammalia; Artiodactyla; Camelidae.
GGAGGUAUAGCUCAGUGGUAGAACAUCUACCUAGCAUGCAUGACGUCCUGGGUUCAAUCCCUAGCAUCUCCA